CACCCUACGGGACGCAGCAGUGAGGAAUAUUGGUCAAUGGGCGGGAGCCUGAACCAGCCAAGUCGCGUGAGGGACGACGGUCCUAUGGAUUGUAAACCUCUUUUGUCGGGGAACAAAGGCGCCCACGGGUGGGCGGAUGGGUGUACCCGAAGAAAAAGCAUCGGCUAACUCCGUGCCAGCAGCCGCGGUAAUACGUAGGGGGCAAGCGUUAUCCGGAUUUACUGGGUGUAAAGGGAGCGUAGACGGCCAGACAAGUCUGAAGUGAAAAUCCAGCGCUUAACGUUGGAAGUGCUUUGGAAACUGCC
This 305-nucleotide ribosomal RNA is filed under the name uncultured bacterium. RNAcentral describes it as "bacterial SSU rRNA". It matches the Rfam family "Bacterial small subunit ribosomal RNA", at positions 335 to 637 of the family's 1533-position model. The record is from RNAcentral.